AAACAAUGUGAUUUAAUUAUUAACCAAUCAGGAUGCUUUUACUAUGUUAUUAACCAAUUGCAGAAUACUUGGUCAAUCAUUUUGCUGUGACAAUAGAGAGAAUUAUUAUAACAAAUG
This is a non-coding RNA of Chelonoidis abingdonii (Abingdon island giant tortoise), 117 nucleotides long. The record is from RefSeq and is a predicted model, not a curated record. NCBI's taxonomy places the organism in Eukaryota, Metazoa, Chordata, Testudines, Testudinidae.